GACGAACGCUGGCGGCGUGCUUAACACAUGCAAGUCGAGCGAACGGACGAGAAGCUUGCUUCUCUGAUGUUAGCGGCGGACGGGUGAGUAACACGUGGAUAACCUACCUAUAAGACUGGGAUAACUUCGGGAAACCGGAGCUAAUACCGGAUGAUAUUUUGAACCGCAUGGUUCAAAAGUGAAAGACGGUCUUGCUGUCACUUAUAGAUGGAUCCGCGCUGCAUUAGCUAGUUGGUAAGGUAACGGCUUACCAAGGCAACGAUGCAUAGCCGACCUGAGAGGGUGAUCGGCCACACUGGAACUGAGACACGGUCCAGACUCCUACGGGAGGCAGCAGUAGGGAAUCUUCCGCAAUGGGCGAAAGCCUGACGGAGCAACGCCGCGUGAGUGAUGAAGGUCUUCGGAUCGUAAAACUCUGUUAUUAGGGAAGAACAUAUGUGUAAGUAACUGUGCACAUCUUGACGGUACCUAAUCAGAAAGCCACGGCUAACUACGUG
This 497-nucleotide ribosomal RNA is filed under the name uncultured bacterium. Its description in RNAcentral is "partial 16S ribosomal RNA". It matches the Rfam family "Bacterial small subunit ribosomal RNA", at positions 28 to 507 of the family's 1533-position model. The record is from RNAcentral.